Molecule: ribosomal RNA, 587 nt
Filed under: Salmonella enterica
Lineage: Bacteria; Pseudomonadati; Pseudomonadota; Gammaproteobacteria; Enterobacterales; Enterobacteriaceae
Description: partial 23S ribosomal RNA
Source: RNAcentral
AGUGGAAGCGUCUGGAAAGGCGCGCGAUACAGGGUGACAGCCCCGUACACAAAAGCGCAUGUGCUGUGAGCUCGAUGAGUAGGGCGGGACACGUGGUAUCCUGUCUGAAUAUGGGGGGACCAUCCUCCAAGGCUAAAUACUCCUGACUGACCGAUAGUGAACCAGUACCGUGAGGGAAAGGCGAAAAGAACCCCGGCGAGGGGAGUGAAAAAGAACCUGAAACCGUGUACGUACAAGCAGUGGGAGCACCCUUUGGGGUGUGACUGCGUACCUUUUGUAUAAUGGGUCAGCGACUUAUAUUCUGUAGCAAGGUUAACCGAAUAGGGGAGCCGGAGGGAAACCGAGUCUUAAYYGGGCGUUAAGUUGCAGGGUAUAGACCCGAAACCCGGUGAUCUAGCCAUGGGCAGGUUGAAGGUUGGGUAACACUAACUGGAGGACCGAACCGACUAAUGUUGAAAAAUUAGCGGAUGACCUGUGGCUGGGGGUGAAAGGCCAAUCAAACCGGGAGAUAGCUGGUUCUCCCCGAAAGCUAUUUAGGUAGCGCCUCGUGAAUUCAUCUCCGGGGGUAGAGCACUGUUUCGGCUAGG